RNAcentral lists this ribosomal RNA (286 nucleotides) under Volvox rousseletii. RNAcentral's name for it is "partial 18S ribosomal RNA". It matches the Rfam family "Eukaryotic small subunit ribosomal RNA", at positions 1543 to 1831 of the family's 1831-position model. Lineage: Eukaryota; Viridiplantae; Chlorophyta; Chlorophyceae; Chlamydomonadales; Volvocaceae. The record is from RNAcentral.
CGGGUAAUCUUGUAAACCGCGUCGUGAUGGGGAUAGAUUAUUGCAAUUAUUAGUCUUCAACGAGGAAUGCCUAGUAAGCGCGAAUCAUCAGUUCGCGUUGAUUACGUCCCUGCCCUUUGUACACACCGCCCGUCGCUCCUACCGAUUGGGUGUGCUGGUGAAGUGUUCGGAUUGACCUUGACUGGGGCAACCUGGGCUUGGUUGAAAAGUUCAUUAAACCCUCCCACCUAGAGGAAGGAGAAGUCGUAACAAGGUUUCCGUAGGUGAACCUGCGGAAGGAUCAUUG